This 82-nucleotide transfer RNA is filed under the name Ceratitis capitata (Mediterranean fruit fly). RNAcentral describes it as "tRNA-Ser". It matches the Rfam family "tRNA". From Rfam's summary of the family: Transfer RNA (tRNA) molecules are approximately 80 nucleotides in length. Their secondary structure includes four short double-helical elements and three loops (D, anti-codon, and T loops). The record is from RNAcentral. Lineage: Eukaryota; Metazoa; Arthropoda; Insecta; Diptera; Tephritidae.
CUGCGGUGUCCGAGUGGUUAAGGAGAUGGACUUGAAAUCCAUUGGGUUCUACCCGCACAGGUUCGAAUCCUGUCCGCAGCGA